AUUGAGUUUGAUCCUGGCUCAGAACGAACGCUGGCGGCAUGCCUUACACAUGCAAGUCGAACGGCAGCGGGGGUGCUUGCACCUGCCGGCGAGUGGCGAACGGGUGAGUAAUGCAUCGGAACGUACCCAGUCGUGGGGGACAACGCAGCGAAAGCUGUGCUAAUACCGCAUACGUCCUGAGGGAGAAAGCAGGGGAUCUUCGGACCUUGUGCGAUUGGAGCGGCCGAUGUCAGAUUAGCUAGUUGGUGAGGUAAAAGCUCACCAAGGCGACGAUCUGUAGCUGGUCUGAGAGGAUGAUCAGCCACACUGGAACUGAGACACGGUCCAGACUCCUACGGGAGGCAGCAGUGGGGAAUUUUGGACAAUGGGGGCAACCCUGAUCCAGCAGCCGCGGUAAUAAU
Molecule: ribosomal RNA, 401 nt
Filed under: uncultured bacterium
Lineage: Bacteria
Description: bacterial SSU rRNA
Rfam family: Bacterial small subunit ribosomal RNA
Source: RNAcentral